UAGAAAAAAAAAAGAUAAAAGGAGAAGAAAUGAAGAAAAAAUACAGCAUCUAGAUGAAGUGUUUCAGAGGCUGUGGCGCCAUGGGUUGAAGCUACAGCCGAACAAGUGCAAGUUCCUGCAACAGAAGGUGAAAUUUCUGGGGCAUGUAGUGGAUAAGUGUGGUGUAAGACCAGACCCUGAUAAAAUUUCUGCAGUUAUGGAUUGGCCGGUCCCUGAUACCAUCAGACAAAACACCUGGAGGGGACUGGAUCAGAGCGUGGAGUCACUUCAGCAGCCAUUGAACUGACCUGUGAGGUAGAAAGGAGUGACUGGGCAGAAGCACAAGCUCGUGAUCCGGAUAUUCAAGUGGUAAAACAACUUCUGGAAACCCAGGUCGCGCCCACAAAGUUAGAACGUCAGACAUUGUCACAUGGUGUGCGAUGACUCCUGCAG
Molecule: long non-coding RNA, 432 nt
Organism: Oreochromis aureus
Lineage: Eukaryota; Metazoa; Chordata; Actinopteri; Cichliformes; Cichlidae
Source: Ensembl